RNAcentral lists this ribosomal RNA (425 nucleotides) under uncultured bacterium. RNAcentral's name for it is "partial 16S ribosomal RNA". It matches the Rfam family "Bacterial small subunit ribosomal RNA", at positions 354 to 796 of the family's 1533-position model. The record is from RNAcentral.
GUUAGGAAUAUUGGACAAUGGGCGCAAGCCUGAUCCAGCCAUGCCGCGUGAACGAUGAAGGCCUUCGGGUUGUAAAGUUCUUUAGCCGAUGAUUAUAAUGACUGUAGUCGGAAAAUAAGCCCCGGCUAACUUCGUGCCAGCAGCCGCGGUAAUACGAAGGGGGCGAGCGUUAUUCGGAAUCACUGGGCGUAAAGCGUGCGUAGGCGGUCUCGUAAGUUAGGAGUGAAAGCCCAGGGCUCAACCUUGGAAUUGCUCUUAAAACUGCAAGGCUAGAAUCUCGGAGAGGAUAGCGGAAUUGUCAGUGUAGCAGUGAAAUGCGUAGAUAUUGACAGGAACACCAGUGGCGCAAGCGGCUAUCUGGACCGAUAUUGACGCUGAGGCACGAAAGCGUGGGGAGCAAACAGGAUUAGAUACCCUUGUAGUCC